Chinchilla lanigera (long-tailed chinchilla) is the source of this 632-nucleotide long non-coding RNA. RefSeq lists it as uncharacterized. The record is from RefSeq and is a predicted model, not a curated record. NCBI's taxonomy places the organism in Eukaryota, Metazoa, Chordata, Mammalia, Rodentia, Chinchillidae. The transcript has 3 exons.
GGACCCGAGUGAGGACUGUGAUCUUUGCCAUCCAGAUCCAAAGCUCAGAGGCCUUGGCCCGCUUGGGUGGGGGGUGGGGGGAUAACGUCAGCGUUGCUACUUGAGGUGACAACUGGGGGCCGGCCUUGAAGCGCUGCUUGCAAAACCAACACACAGAUUAGACUGAGGGUGAAAGCCUGUGUUCGCCCUGGUUAGAGGCACGGGUACAGGGGUUUGUAACCCGCUCUGCUGCUGACUGUGUGACCGAAGAAAGUCACCAAGUCCUCUGAGCCUCAGGUUCCCUGCCUGUAAAAUGGGAACAAUAAUGUGGAUGCUAAUUCUCCACAGUGCAAAACCUGCUCAAGACUCCCAGACCCUCAGCGGAGUUAGAGUGACAGGAACUGGCGCAGGACUCCGGGUUUACUGCCUUCCUCGCACUUCCGGGUGCCCUCCCUGGUUCCGCAGCAGGUCCCAGUCUGUGAGCUUCGAAGUGCAGUUGUGGGAGGAGCAGGGCCAUGUGGAGCAAAUUGGAUUCCGAGUCCCUGGAGCACUCGCGCCCGCCAGGGCUCGCCACUCAUCCCGCCCGCCCAGGCCAGGAGCGGUCUAUUUCCUUUUUUCUCUCCUUUUCGUUUUUUCUGGAUCUGUUUUUUUUU